Molecule: ribosomal RNA, 1156 nt
Filed under: Hypoxylon carneum
Lineage: Eukaryota; Fungi; Ascomycota; Sordariomycetes; Xylariales; Hypoxylaceae
Description: LSU rRNA
Rfam family: Eukaryotic large subunit ribosomal RNA
Source: RNAcentral
UUUGAAAUCUGGCCCUGGCGGCCCGAGUUGUAAUUUGCAGAGGAUGCUUUGGGCGCGGCGCCUUCCGAGUUCCCUGGAACGGGACGCCACAGAGGGUGAGAGCCCCGUACGGUGGGACGCCUACCCCGCGUAUAGCUCCUUCGACGAGUCGAGUAGUUUGGGAAUGCUGCUCUAAACGGGAGGUAAAUUUCUUCUAAGGCUAAAUACCGGCCAGAGACCGAUAGCGCACAAGUAGAGUGAUCGAAAGAUGAAAAGCACUUUGAAAAGAGGGUUAAACAGCACGUGAAAUUGUUGAAAGGGAAGCGUCCGCGACCAGACCUUCUCCAGGCGGAUCCUACGGCGUUCUCGACGUGGCCCUCCGCCUGGUCUAGGCCAGCAUCGGUCCCCGCGGGGGGAGAAAGGCCCGGGGAACGUGGCUCCCCCGGGAGUGUUAUAGCCCCGGGCGCAAUGCCCCCGCGGGGGACCGAGGACCGCGCUCUGCAAGGAUGCUGGCGUAAUGGUCGUCGACGACCCGUCUUGAAACACGGACCAAGGAGUCGAACAUCUGUGCGAGUGUCUGGGUGCCAAACCCUCGCGCGUAAUGAAAGUGAACGUAGGUGAGAGCCCCCCGGGGCGCAUCAUCGACCGAUCCGGAUGUCUUCGGAUGGAUUUGAGUAGGAGCACAGCUGUUCGGACCCGAAAGAUGGUGAACUAUGCGUGGAUAGGGUGAAGCCAGAGGAAACUCUGGUGGAGGCUCGCAGCGGUUCUGACGUGCAAAUCGAUCGUCGAAUCUGCGCAUGGGGGCGAAAGACUUAUCGAACCAUCUAGUAGCUGGUUACCGCCGAAGUUUCCCUCAGGAUAGCAGUGUUGUGUCUUCAGUUUUAUGAGGUAAAGCGAAUGAUUAGGGACUCGGGGGCGCUCUUUAGCCUUCAUCCAUUCUCAAACUUUAAAUAUGUAAGAAGCCCUUGUUACUUCGCUGAACGUGGGCAUUCGAAUGUAUCAACACUAGUGGGCCAUUUUUGGUAAGCAGAACUGGCGAUGCGGGAUGAACCGAACGCGGGGUUAAGGUGCCGGAGUGGACGCUCAUCAGACACCACAAAAGGUGUUAGUACAUCUAGACAGUUGGACGGUGGCCAUGGAAGUCGGAAUCCGCUAAGGACUGUGUAACAACUCACCA